RNAcentral lists this small nuclear RNA (103 nucleotides) under Canis lupus familiaris (dog). RNAcentral describes it as "7SK RNA". It matches the Rfam family "7SK RNA", at positions 4 to 105 of the family's 331-position model. From Rfam's summary of the family: 7SK was discovered as an abundant small nuclear RNA in the mid-70s but a possible function has only recently been suggested. RNAcentral also lists the same sequence under 1 other name. Lineage: Eukaryota; Metazoa; Chordata; Mammalia; Carnivora; Canidae. The record is from Rfam by way of RNAcentral.
UGUGAGAGCGAUUUGGCUGAGACAUCUGUUGGCCCUUUGUUCAUCAGUGUUGAGUCUACUGAUCUGAUUGAGGAGGCAGAUGUCCCCCCUCUUCCCUCACUGU